This 307-nucleotide long non-coding RNA is filed under the name Mytilus galloprovincialis (Mediterranean mussel). Lineage: Eukaryota; Metazoa; Mollusca; Bivalvia; Mytilida; Mytilidae. The record is from RNAcentral.
AAAAUUGUUGCCAUGGCACUUUCUGAAAAAUAGGCAAAUACAGGUUAAGGCAGUUUUUUUAUUAGUAUGUACAACUAAAUGCAUAAAACAUAGAUACUUUACCACUUUCUCAAGAGAUCAGUCUUUCACCUUUCCUAUAAUGCCAAAAUUAAAUCUAAAAUGAAGUAAGGAUGCUAAAUAAAGUUGGAAAACCUUCCCCUACCCCUGGAAAAUGACCGAAAAAAAUGCUAAAUUCAUCAAAAAGACCUUAUUUUAACAAGUCAAGUUGUAUAGCCUAUUAUAUUUGUGUCUGUUACUAGAUUAAAAC